This 314-nucleotide unclassified non-coding RNA is filed under the name uncultured fungus. RNAcentral's name for it is "partial contains 5.8S ribosomal RNA, internal transcribed spacer 2, and large subunit ribosomal RNA". The record is from RNAcentral. Lineage: Eukaryota; Fungi.
AACGCACAUUGCGCCUCUCGGUAUUCCGGGAGGCACGCCUGUUCGAGCGCCAUUACACACUCCAAGCAGCAGCUUGAUGUUGGGCGACGUCCGCGAGGGCCCGAGUCUUUCUUUUCCCCGAGAGGGGGAGAGGCGGAGGCGAGAGGACGCGCCUGGAACGCGUGGGCGGCGGAGGCCAGACCGCGAGCGUAGCAAGACGACAAGUCAACCGCUCUGACGGCUCUGGUGGACGACCAGCCUUUCUUUGCAUUGCAGAAUGCAACAACCCCAACGAGUUUGGCCUCGGAUCAGGCGGGGAUACCCGCUGAACUUAA